AUACAACUAUGACCAUGGACUUUGUUCCGCCAGUACUGCCGCUGUCUCAAGCUGUUUUUGACCACCAUAGCAAGUGUCACACGACACCAUCAUCAUGUUCAUGUUCCUCACAUCUCCCUCUUUCAUUCGCAACAUGGAUCGGGACUCAAAACACUUUAUUUAUUUUCUUCAAAAAUCACACCACCGCCUUUGGAUUGAGAUUCUGGCCAUCACAAGUAUUACCGAUGAAAACCGAUACCAUAUUUGAUUUCCACCUUUGUCACAGCUUUUUUCUUGAAUUCCGGCCAUCACGUUCAUCUUCUUGAAAAACUGAUACCGUUUUUGGAUUUAUCUCGUCGAAACCUUCAAGAAGCACUACUCAUUUGUGUAUUUCGGUGAAGUUAACGUCGUACCCAAUCGGCGCUCUGGCGCGUUGAUAAGGUCUUUCCUAAUAACUUGUUUCAUUCCAUUUUGAAUACGUUUCUUCUCCUAACAUUUUUAUUAAUUAUCUAACAUUGAUUUUUAUGCUCCGCAUAAAUUACCAGUCAUAUUUCAUUUACACUGCAAAUUCGUUGAUGGUUUUGGACCUGUUUGUUGCGCGUUGUCAAUAUGUCAUGAUUGCUCGAAAUUGUUCUGAUUCUUAUAUCGUACGAAAAUGUCAAACUCAGGGAUGGGGUGAGAGUGAGUUCGAAUUCAUGAGUGUAAAUGAAGUUAAAUGAAUGGGAAAACCGUAUGUCCCAUAAUCCAUUUCGGGCUCACUGCGUACGGCUGAAUCCCUAUGAGUAAUAAUUGACUAAUAAAAAAAACUUGAAUUUGGUGAGAUUAAAAUAUGAAUGAGAAACUUUUAUAGGGUGUUGUUUGAAUUGAUUUCAGAAAUCGCGUGGUAGUUCAAUUAUUUUAGAAUUGUGUAUUUGACGUAUGUUGUGUUUUGUUUAUAUUCACCCUUGUUAUAUGAUAUAAAAUGUGAUAAAUUGUAGUUAGGUGACUUGGAGGUAGUACUCCAAAUAUCGGGAGUUACCAUACAACACACUUUUACCUCGAUUGUCGUGUAUAUGUGUCUCGGAUUGAGUUGAGGGGAUUUAUGAGGACAUGACCAAUUUGAAUUGUUCGUCCACUUGCGCGGUGACAUAGUAUCAAGCCUCUUAACCAAGUAUUUUAUAGUUUGAAUGAUAUCAAAGAAAGAGGAGGAGUUUAGUGUAGAAGAGUAUGCAUAACAUUACUUAAUUUGUGUGAUGACUUACUUGACGUUGUGGAUUGUAUCAAUGUUUUACCUUGGUUAUUAUUGUUAACAUUUGAUAUGAUACAAUGUUUAAUUAAUGUUUUACGUGUUCUUCUCAAUCAUUUUAUACUAUUACAUGUUUUCGAAAUUCACCAAUUGUUGUUUGUGUUUGGCUCUAGUGAGGGUGCAGUUAUUUUGGGAUAUCAGUUGAUGAUCCAUUCUCUGAUAGGUGAUAUUGAGUGGGAGUAAUUCGUUGUAUUUUAUCGAGUUGUAAAAUUUUCUCAAUUAAAAACCCGAGGUAAAUAUCCGUAAUACUUAGUUUGACUGAUAAAUGUCAAUAUUAUUAGUUUGGAUAUUAUAUUU
This 1561-nucleotide long non-coding RNA is filed under the name Cicer arietinum (chickpea). RNAcentral describes it as "long non-coding RNA (CARI_LNC003708)". The record is from RNAcentral. Lineage: Eukaryota; Viridiplantae; Streptophyta; Magnoliopsida; Fabales; Fabaceae.